Manduca sexta (tobacco hornworm) is the source of this 946-nucleotide long non-coding RNA. RefSeq lists it as uncharacterized. NCBI's taxonomy places the organism in Eukaryota, Metazoa, Arthropoda, Insecta, Lepidoptera, Sphingidae. The transcript has 2 exons. The record is from RefSeq and is a predicted model, not a curated record.
CGAUACUCGAUCUGAAGUGGACUGGAGUCGAGAGACCUGUGGGAGGAGGUUUAGUUAAAAGUUGUAUGCGUUGUUUAUGGUCGGCUAAAGUAUUGACUGGUGAGGUGUAAUCUUCCCUCGCUAGUUCUCUAUGUGGACCCAACUGCAUUUACCAUCACGCGUAGAGGGAUCACUGGUAUGCUCGUAUAAAAAAAUAUUUCAAGCCAAACUGGUUAGAUACAUUUGUGGGAAAUUCGGUGGAUUUUUCUCACAAGCGGCGGGCCGAGGAUCGUUUGUGUAUGAGUUAGUAGUAGUUAGUAAGAGUGGUAUAUUCUUAUCUACCUAGUAUUGCCUGCAGUGUUGUUUCUAAUUGACUUCUGGUUACUAUCAGGUUCACUGUAGUUAUAACACUAAGUCUGAGUCAAAAAUUAUGAUUUGAGAUUGUUAAUUUAUUAUUUUGUAAAUAAUCAGACCGGCCAAAUCAUUGAUUACUAAAUCUUACCCCAAAAAUUAAAGAAUUGUGUUGCAGCUUGAUUGUACCCUGGAUUUGUUGAUAUCCAUUAUCCAUAACCAGUUGUCGCUUUGUGUUAAUGACCCAUAUACAAUUAAAUAGGACAUUAAUUCUAUUGCCUUUAAAGACAAUAAAUGGAUAAUAAUAUUUGUAGGUAGGUACAUAAUUCUCUUUAACGGUGAUGUUCACACUAGGCUGCGUUUGUAUCAUAGACAUCGGUUUUAAUUUCAUUUACAAAUAAUAUAUUGUAGUAUCUCUUAUAAAAAUAAUUAUAAUUCUAAAGUAAAGGUGGGUGUGCAUAUGUGUGUGUGUUGUUUAUGAUUGCAUAAUGUUAACAAAUUAUGUUUGUACUUUCAAGAUUGUCUAAUGAUUGUAAUGAAUCUCUUAUAUGAAGACAUAUAAGAGAUUCAUUAACAGAGUUGAUUUUACUUUUCUUCAAUAAAGGAUAAUGUUGAA